UAUCUCUGUAGAGUCUGCAUAUCAAUAAGCGGAGGAAAAGAAACUAACUAGGAUUCCCUCAGUAACGGCGAGUGAAGCGGGAAGAGCUCAAAUUUGAAAUCUUCAAGGUUCUACCUUGACGAAUUGUAGUUUAAAGAAGUGUUUUCUGUUGGAUGUUUUGGUAAAAGUUCUUUGGAAUAGGACAUCAUAGAGGGUGAGAAUCCCGUAUUUGACCAUUAUUUCAGCUUUGUGAUACACUUUCAAAGAGUCGGAUUGUUUGGGAAUGCAGUCCAAAAUGGGUGGUAAAUUUCAUCUAAAGCUAAAUAUUGGCGAGAGACCGAUAGCGAACAAGUACCGUGAGGGAAAGAUGAAAAGAACUUUGAAAAGAGAGUUAAACAGUACGUGAAAUUGUCAAAAGGGAAGCGUUUGACACCAGUGUUGUUUUCUCGAAAAUCAAUUAAAAAAAGUUGGAUUUUGUAUUGUAUUAGACCUUAUCAGCUUACUGCUACUCUUUUCUCUGCUUUUUUUAAUGCACUUUUCGUUUAACAAGUCAACAUCAAUUUCUUUUGUUGUAAAAGAGUCAUUGGAAGGUGGCUUUCACUUCGGUGAAAGUGUUUAUAGCCUUUGGCUUCUGCAAUCGGAGAGAUUGAGGUCUGCAGCGUAGAUCCUUCGGGGCUAGAUACGUAGAUGCUAAGUUAUAGUUUUUUAUAGACAACUUGUUGACUAUAAUUAAUCAUGUAGCUUACUCGUUUGCGCUAUUUUACCUACGCUUAGGAUGUUGAUCUGUAGUGCGUGCGC
This 777-nucleotide ribosomal RNA is filed under the name uncultured Neocallimastigales. RNAcentral's name for it is "partial large subunit ribosomal RNA". It matches the Rfam family "Eukaryotic large subunit ribosomal RNA", at positions 24 to 646 of the family's 3401-position model. Lineage: Eukaryota; Fungi; Neocallimastigomycota; Neocallimastigomycetes; Neocallimastigales. The record is from RNAcentral.